AUACGGAGGGCGCAAGCGUUGCCCGGAAUCACUGGGUGUAAAGGGUGCGUAGGCGGGGCUGUAAGUCAGAGGUGAAAGCCCUCGGCUCAACCGGGGAAUUGCCUCUGAUACUGCAGCUCUUGAGUCCCGGAGAGGCCGCUGGAAUUCCUGGUGUAGCGGUGAAAUGCGUAGAUAUCAGGAGGAACACCGGAGGCGAAGGCGGGCGGCUGGACGGGGACUGACGCUGAGGCACGAAAGCGUAGGGAGCAAACAGGAUUAGAUACCCUAGUAGUCC
RNAcentral lists this ribosomal RNA (274 nucleotides) under uncultured bacterium. RNAcentral describes it as "partial 16S ribosomal RNA". It matches the Rfam family "Bacterial small subunit ribosomal RNA", at positions 523 to 796 of the family's 1533-position model. The record is from RNAcentral.